UAGGGACAUAUUUAAAUAUAAAAUGAAAAUUCUAUUGUUAUACUAAAUUGAUGAAAAUAUAAGGUAGUUGAGUUAGGGACAUAUAUGAAAAUAAAAUGAAAACUCUAUUAUUUUACUAAAUUAUUAAAAAAGUAAGGGGUGUAAAUCAUUUUUUCUAAACUAGACCGGGCUACGGCCCGGUCUAGCCCACGUGCAGGUCCGCCACUGGCUGUUGUUUACUUGUCGUACUCAAAUGCGUUAAGAGAAAGAAAGCUAAAGUAUACACGCAAUAAUUCUAUUACGAUGGCAAAACGCCGAAAGUAAAAGCAACUACAAAGGUGGUCUCCCGAGUUUAAAAUCAUGAUAAAGAAUCAAGCAUGAAGAAAUCCAGCUUCUAAGCUAUAACUAUGCAUGCAUUUACAUGUGAACGUAGAGCUAGCAAUUGCAAUCUACACAUUUCCUUCGCAAUUCCAACUGGAGGUGGGAACGCAGCUCAUGUAGUGACACCAUCUGCAACGAUCAUUACCAUUCUCUCCCCGGAAGAGCAUCACCAGUGCAACUGUUAAUCUGCAAUUAAGCCAGAAUAAUAAUUAAACCACUCAGUAGUCAGUACCCGGAACUUUAAAAUGGCUUCGUUCGCAACCUUUCUCUUGCAGAUAUCAUCUUCCAAUACCAAAUGAUUAAAAAUAAUUUUACACGGGGUCUCUACAUUCUGAUUGCCAAGAACUGGGAGUCGGGACAAUGAAUUCAUGGCCCACAACUUCUAUAACGAGGCAUUAUGAGAUACAAUUAUGUUCCCCUUUUCCUCAGCAAUCAUAAUCUGCCUAGGACCCCGGCAAACCACUUCAGAAUUUCAUAAAAUCAUUACUUAUAUAUAAUUUGUAUUGUGCUGUUGGUAUUCAGAUGAUGCUUUCUCCUAUGAAAAUGCAAUUAUUAGGAGUCACUCACCCUGCAAUUAGUAGAACCAGAGAGACCAGCCAUAACACGUAUUGAUGUGUCUUAUACUUGGAUUUUAUGGCGGCACUUCCAGGAAGGUUCCUGCCAUCAAGCCAUCCGUACCGAGGACGGGGCAACAAGACAAAACCAAGGAAGAACCCAGUGAGAAAUCCACCAAUGUGAGCGAAAUUAUCAACAUGCGGCAGAAUUCCUAUAGCGAGAUUAAUUGCAAUGAUGACCAAAAGAGUAAUCAAGGCUGCAGCCUACAAAACAACAUCAUCUAAAGGAGUAAGCAUGAAAAACUGUGUAUCCCAACCUACAGCACAAGAACUAGCAAUAAUAGUAGUAUAAGCAAAGUAAAAUGUGCAGACAACAGCUGGCCUCACUCACCUUGUUGGUAUAAAGACUCCAGUUAGUAAGUAGUUCUGAAAGCAUUGCUCCCAGAAGCCCAAAAAGUGCACCGGAGGCACCAACAGAGAUGCUGUUUCGAAUAAAUAGGCAGGAAAGAACACUCCCACCGAAUCCAGAUAACAGGUAAAUAACUCCAAUCCGCACUGUCCCAUCGUAACAAGAGACGUCAAAUAGACUAAAUUAAGCUCAAAAAUUAAAAACUGCUGUACCGUACAUCCGCCUUGGCCGUACAGCAGCUAAAUUACUCGACUUAAUAAAUUAAAUAAUUAAAAUUUAUUCAUCCUUUCAAAUUGUAAAAGUAUUUUUAGUCAAAAGUUUCAAUAAAUAAACUAAACUCAAUUCAGCAAAAAGAUAUUUGGGUACAGUUGUUUCUUUGUCAGAUACUCUAUCUUUCUUUAAAGAACUAGAAGUUGGUGAUUCUUCUAUUAAAAGCUCUUAAAAUAUCCAAAUUUUAUUUUCUAACUUGUUCUCUUAGUUAAUAUAACUAAUAAAUAAAAUCUGAAAAUUCACAUUAAAAUUUUAUGAAAAUAUUGAUAAUUGCUAAUAUAUCUUAUUUAUGUAAGUAUUUUUAAGUCUAGUGAUGAUGUUAUAUUAUAUUGACAUAUAUAUUUUUUAAUUAGAAGCUUUUUAAAAUAAAUUAAGGCAGCAAUAAAAUUUUAACACCCUAAUGUUUUCAAUCUAUUCAAUAAAUAUAUAAGUUAAUCAUUUUAUAAAAUAAGUCACUAAUUUCAAUUGAAAAUAAUAUAAUUGACUUAGGGACAUAUUUAUAAAUAAAAUAAAAACUUUAUUAUUAUAUAAAAUUAAUGAAAAUAUAUGGGUAAUUGAGUUAGGGACAUAUUUAAAUAUAAAAUGAAAAUUCUAUUGUUAUACUAAAUUGAUGAAAAUAUAAACAUAUAUAUUUUUUAAUUAGAAGCUUUUUAAAAUAAAUUAAGGCAGCAAUAAAAUUUUAACACCCUAAUGUUUUCAAUCUAUUCAAUAAAUAUAUAAGUUAAUCAUUUUAUAAAAUAAGUCACUAAUUUCAAUUGAAAAUAAUAUAAUUGACUUAGGGACAUAUUUAUAAAUAAAAUAAAAACUUUAUUAUUAUAUAAAAUUAAUGAAAAUAUAUGGGUAAUUGAGUUAGGGACAUAUUUAAAUAUAAAAUGAAAAUUCUAUUGUUAUACUAAAUUGAUGAAAAUAUAAGGUAGUUGAGUUAGGGACAUAUAUGAAAAUAAAAUGAAAACUCUAUUAUUUUACUAAAUUAUUAAAAAAGUAAGGGGUGUAAAUCAUUUUUUCUAAACUAGACCGGGCUACGGCCCGGUCUAGCCCACGUGCAGGUCCGCCACUGGCUGUUGUUUACUUGUCGUACUCAAAUGCGUUAAGAGAAAGAAAGCUAAAGUAUACACGCAAUAAUUCUAUUACGAUGGCAAAACGCCGAAAGUAAAAGCAACUACAAAGGUGGUCUCCCGAGUUUAAAAUCAUGAUAAAGAAUCAAGCAUGAAGAAAUCCAGCUUCUAAGCUAUAACUAUGCAUGCAUUUACAUGUGAACGUAGAGCUAGCAAUUGCAAUCUACACAUUUCCUUCGCAAUUCCAACUGGAGGUGGGAACGCAGCUCAUGUAGUGACACCAUCUGCAACGAUCAUUACCAUUCUCUCCCCGGAAGAGCAUCACCAGUGCAACUGUUAAUCUGCAAUUAAGCCAGAAUAAUAAUUAAACCACUCAGUAGUCAGUACCCGGAACUUUAAAAUGGCUUCGUUCGCAACCUUUCUCUUGCAGAUAUCAUCUUCCAAUACCAAAUGAUUAAAAAUAAUUUUACACGGGGUCUCUACAUUCUGAUUGCCAAGAACUGGGAGUCGGGACAAUGAAUUCAUGGCCCACAACUUCUAUAACGAGGCAUUAUGAGAUACAAUUAUGUUCCCCUUUUCCUCAGCAAUCAUAAUCUGCCUAGGACCCCGGCAAACCACUUCAGAAUUUCAUAAAAUCAUUACUUAUAUAUAAUUUGUAUUGUGCUGUUGGUAUUCAGAUGAUGCUUUCUCCUAUGAAAAUGCAAUUAUUAGGAGUCACUCACCCUGCAAUUAGUAGAACCAGAGAGACCAGCCAUAACACGUAUUGAUGUGUCUUAUACUUGGAUUUUAUGGCGGCACUUCCAGGAAGGUUCCUGCCAUCAAGCCAUCCGUACCGAGGACGGGGCAACAAGACAAAACCAAGGAAGAACCCAGUGAGAAAUCCACCAAUGUGAGCGAAAUUAUCAACAUGCGGCAGAAUUCCUAUAGCGAGAUUAAUUGCAAUGAUGACCAAAAGAGUAAUCAAGGCUGCAGCCUACAAAACAACAUCAUCUAAAGGAGUAAGCAUGAAAAACUGUGUAUCCCAACCUACAGCACAAGAACUAGCAAUAAUAGUAGUAUAAGCAAAGUAAAAUGUGCAGACAACAGCUGGCCUCACUCACCUUGUUGGUAUAAAGACUCCAGUUAGUAAGUAGUUCUGAAAGCAUUGCUCCCAGAAGCCCAAAAAGUGCACCGGAGGCACCAACAGAGAUGCUGUUUCGAAUAAAUAGGCAGGAAAGAACACUCCCACCGAAUCCAGAUAACAGGUAAAUAACUCCAAUCCGCACUGUCCCAUCGUAACAAGAGACGUCAAAUAGACUAAAUUAAGCUCAAAAAUUAAAAAAAAAAAAUUAAUCAUUUGCAUUUUAAAUAGCAUGAAAGAGCAACAUACCGAACCCAAAUUGCUGUUCAAGGCGAAUACCAAUGAAAACCAGGCAUAGCAUGUUUACGAGGAGAUGAAUAAUACCGGCGUGCAACCAGAUACAAGUGAUAAGCCUCCAUCCUUGAUGUUUUUGCACCACUUUGGUCCAUUCAAGACCACCCAAUUUCUCCAAUCUUCAAAACAAGGAAAAGAAUAUAUUCAAUUACUUUCUUUCUCGGCCACGAAUGGAAAGCAAAAUAAUGGCAUAUAGAAAAAGAAGAACCUCCAAAUAACUCAAAGCUCCAUCUUUCUCACCAGAUCCACCAACUUUUCACCCACAAAGCAAUGAAUCAAUGAAAGCAUAAAAUAUCAAGACACUGAUAACCUCAAAUUAUAACCAAAUAACGACUUACUUUUAGACUGGAAUUCAAUUAGCAAACAAGUAUCUAAUAUUAACGCCAAAGGCUACCAGGUUUCAUUUUCCAAAAACAAAACCUCUAGACACAUAGUUAAGUUUACGAUUCGGGCACCUAAAUACCAUAACCAGAGUUAGUUUGACAACAGAACACUUGAUUAAUCAAAGAUCAAUGAAAUUAACACAUCAAGUUACCAUAAUUCAUUCCAAAUUAACCUCUAUAUACAAAUUCCCAAAAUAAUAAACACGAAAGCAUCAACACAACGAGCAAACAAAGUUCUACCAAAUUUCAUCAGCAAAUAAAAAUAAAACCAGGAAACGAAAUGGGUAAUGAAAAAUAAAA
This 4745-nucleotide long non-coding RNA is filed under the name Citrus sinensis (sweet orange). RNAcentral describes it as "long non-coding RNA (CSIN_LNC003988)". The record is from RNAcentral. Lineage: Eukaryota; Viridiplantae; Streptophyta; Magnoliopsida; Sapindales; Rutaceae.